This 3028-nucleotide ribosomal RNA is filed under the name Salmonella enterica. Its description in RNAcentral is "23S ribosomal RNA". It matches the Rfam family "Bacterial large subunit ribosomal RNA". Lineage: Bacteria; Pseudomonadati; Pseudomonadota; Gammaproteobacteria; Enterobacterales; Enterobacteriaceae. The record is from RNAcentral.
GGGUUGUGAGGUUAAGCGACUAAGCGUACACGGUGGAUGCCCUGGCAGUCAGAGGCGAUGAAGGACGUGCUAAUCUGCGAUAAGCGCCGGUAAGGUGAUAUGAACCGUUAUAACCGGCGAUUUCCGAAUGGGGAAACCCAGUGUGACUCGUCACACUAUCAUUAACUGAAUCCAUAGGUUAAUGAGGCGAACCGGGGGAACUGAAACAUCUAAGUACCCCGAGGAAAAGAAAUCAACCGAGAUUCCCCCAGUAGCGGCGAGCGAACGGGGAGGAGCCCAGAGCCUGAAUCAGCAUGUGUGUUAGUGGAAGCGUCUGGAAAGGCGCGCGAUACAGGGUGACAGCCCCGUACACAAAAGCGCACAUGCUGUGAGCUCGAUGAGUAGGGCGGGACACGUGGUAUCCUGUCUGAAUAUGGGGGGACCAUCCUCCAAGGCUAAAUACUCCUGACUGACCGAUAGUGAACCAGUACCGUGAGGGAAAGGCGAAAAGAACCCCGGCGAGGGGAGUGAAAAAGAACCUGAAACCGUGUACGUACAAGCAGUGGGAGCCCCACCACUAAGCCAGUGGUGAACUCCACAUACGCAUCCUUUGCUGAGGAUACGGUUAACGGAGCGAAAGCGACGUUCAACCUCAAAAGAAGCAGAGGGGGCUUAGUGGUGGGGUGACUGCGUACCUUUUGUAUAAUGGGUCAGCGACUUAUAUUCUGUAGCAAGGUUAACCGAAUAGGGGAGCCGGAGGGAAACCGAGUCUUAAUUGGGCGUUAAGUUGCAGGGUAUAGACCCGAAACCCGGUGAUCUAGCCAUGGGCAGGUUGAAGGUUGGGUAACACUAACUGGAGGACCGAACCGACUAAUGUUGAAAAAUUAGCGGAUGACCUGUGGCUGGGGGUGAAAGGCCAAUCAAACCGGGAGAUAGCUGGUUCUCCCCGAAAGCUAUUUAGGUAGCGCCUCGUGAACUCAUCUCCGGGGGUAGAGCACUGUUUCGGCUAGGGGGCCAUCCCGGCUUACCAACCCGAUGCAAACUGCGAAUACCGGAGAAUGUUAUCACGGGAGACACACGGCGGGUGCUAACGUCCGUCGUGAAGAGGGAAACAACCCAGACCGCCAGCUAAGGUCCCAAAGUCAUGGUUAAGUGGGAAACGAUGUGGGAAGGCCCAGACAGCCAGGAUGUUGGCUUAGAAGCAGCCAUCAUUUAAAGAAAGCGUAAUAGCUCACUGGUCGAGUCGGCCUGCGCGGAAGAUGUAACGGGGCUAAACCAUGCACCGAAGCUGCGGCAGCGACGCUGAUGCGUUGUUGGGUAGGGGAGCGUUCUGUAAGCCUGCGAAGGUGGCCUGUGAGGGUUGCUGGAGGUAUCAGAAGUGCGAAUGCUGACAUAAGUAACGAUAAAGCGGGUGAAAAGCCCGCUCGCCGGAAGACCAAGGGUUCCUGUCCAACGUUAAUCGGGGCAGGGUGAGUCGACCCCUAAGGCGAGGCCGAAAGGCGUAGUCGAUGGGAAACGGGUUAAUAUUCCCGUACUUGGUGUUACUGCGAAGGGGGGACGGAGAAGGCUAUGUUGGCCGGGCGACGGUUGUCCCGGUUUAAGCGUGUAGGUGUGUGUUCCAGGUAAAUCCGGUUCACUUUAACACUGAGGCGUGAUGACGAGGCACUACGGUGCUGAAGCAACAAAUGCCCUGCUUCCAGGAAAAGCCUCUAAGCAUCAGGUAACAUCAAAUCGUACCCCAAACCGACACAGGUGGUCAGGUAGAGAAUACCAAGGCGCUUGAGAGAACUCGGGUGAAGGAACUAGGCAAAAUGGUGCCGUAACUUCGGGAGAAGGCACGCUGACACGUAGGUGAAGUGAUUUACUCAUGGAGCUGAAGUCAGUCGAAGAUACCAGCUGGCUGCAACUGUUUAUUAAAAACACAGCACUGUGCAAACACGAAAGUGGACGUAUACGGUGUGACGCCUGCCCGGUGCCGGAAGGUUAAUUGAUGGGGUCAGCGCAAGCGAAGCUCCUGAUCGAAGCCCCGGUAAACGGCGGCCGUAACUAUAACGGUCCUAAGGUAGCGAAAUUCCUUGUCGGGUAAGUUCCGACCUGCACGAAUGGCGUAAUGAUGGCCAGGCUGUCUCCACCCGAGACUCAGUGAAAUUGAACUCGCUGUGAAGAUGCAGUGUACCCGCGGCAAGACGGAAAGACCCCGUGAACCUUUACUAUAGCUUGACACUGAACAUUGAGCCUUGAUGUGUAGGAUAGGUGGGAGGCUUUGAAGUGUGGACGCCAGUCUGCAUGGAGCCGACCUUGAAAUACCACCCUUUAAUGUUUGAUGUUCUAACGUGGACCCGUGAUCCGGGUUGCGGACAGUGUCUGGUGGGUAGUUUGACUGGGGCGGUCUCCUCCUAAAGAGUAACGGAGGAGCACGAAGGUUGGCUAAUCCUGGUCGGACAUCAGGAGGUUAGUGCAAUGGCAUAAGCCAGCUUGACUGCGAGCGUGACGGCGCGAGCAGGUGCGAAAGCAGGUCAUAGUGAUCCGGUGGUUCUGAAUGGAAGGGCCAUCGCUCAACGGAUAAAAGGUACUCCGGGGAUAACAGGCUGAUACCGCCCAAGAGUUCAUAUCGACGGCGGUGUUUGGCACCUCGAUGUCGGCUCAUCACAUCCUGGGGCUGAAGUAGGUCCCAAGGGUAUGGCUGUUCGCCAUUUAAAGUGGUACGCGAGCUGGGUUUAGAACGUCGUGAGACAGUUCGGUCCCUAUCUGCCGUGGGCGCUGGAGAACUGAGGGGGGCUGCUCCUAGUACGAGAGGACCGGAGUGGACGCAUCACUGGUGUUCGGGUUGUCAUGCCAAUGGCACUGCCCGGUAGCUAAAUGCGGAAGAGAUAAGUGCUGAAAGCAUCUAAGCACGAAACUUGCCCCGAGAUGAGUUCUCCCUGAGACUUUAGGUCUCCUGAAGGAACGUUGAAGACGACGACGUUGAUAGGCCGGGUGUGUAAGCGCAGCGAUGCGUUGAGCUAACCGGUACUAAUGAACCGUGAGGCUUAACCUUACAACGCCGAAG